This 191-nucleotide ribosomal RNA is filed under the name uncultured bacterium. Its description in RNAcentral is "partial 16S ribosomal RNA". It matches the Rfam family "Bacterial small subunit ribosomal RNA", at positions 1296 to 1500 of the family's 1533-position model. The record is from RNAcentral.
GAUUGCAGGCUGAAACUCGCCUGCAUGAAGCUGGAAUUGCUAGUAAUCAUAGGUCAGCAUACUGUGGUGAAUACGUUCCCGGGCCUUGUACACACCGCCCGUCACACCAUGAGAGUUGAGAAUACCCGAGGCCCAUGUCAAAGUGGUCGAAGGUAGGCUUGAUGAUUGGGGUGAAGUCGUAACAAGGUAGC